AGUCCUAUAAAAAGGCAUAGUAAUUUCACCCGCGGUACCAUACACCUGCUCAAGUGAGUGAAGUGAGCUCGAAAAUCCUAGCCACAACAUGAAACUUCUGGUACUUCUUGGAUUUUUGGCUGUGGCCCACUCGCAAGUUUCCGAAAAACGCAUGAGCUCUCUAGACGUUUUGGAGAAACUCAGUCAGCAUAUUCCCAACUACAAAUAUGCAACGGACUUAACCAUCCUUAGACUAUCUGAGGCAAAAAAAAAUGCAUCGGAAGUGCUGAACGAAUUUUACAGGAAAACCCUCAAAAUUAAGACAGAAUCACUUGUGUCGAUGAUUAACUUAGAGCUAGAAAUGAUAAACUAUGGAAAAUCAGUUAUCGAAUAUUGUUGGGAGAAUAAUAUACCCAUCCUCGAAGGUAGAAUGGGAUGGGCCGGUGAUGACUACAGGUACUGUAUCAAGCAAUUGGAUAACUCAACCACUAAUGUAGUUGCCAAAAUCUAUGGAAGCUUCAACGAUGACGAAAGUAAUAUCCGCAAGUAUAGUUUGUUCGAGGUCUUCGAGGGGAGGAACAUCAUCAACGAACCGCAGUCGAUCAUCGAUGCCAUCUCUAAACUUGAUACCGUUGUAACUGAUGGCAUUCCGGAGUUCGGUGAUGUU
This is a long non-coding RNA of Ochlerotatus camptorhynchus, 646 nucleotides long. RefSeq lists it as uncharacterized. The transcript is spliced from 2 exons. The record is from RefSeq and is a predicted model, not a curated record. NCBI's taxonomy places the organism in Eukaryota, Metazoa, Arthropoda, Insecta, Diptera, Culicidae.